Long non-coding RNA from Thalassophryne amazonica, 455 nucleotides. RefSeq lists it as uncharacterized. Lineage: Eukaryota; Metazoa; Chordata; Actinopteri; Batrachoidiformes; Batrachoididae. The transcript is spliced from 3 exons. The record is from RefSeq and is a predicted model, not a curated record.
GCGAUGAUUACGUCACUUUCGUCAACAAAGAUGGCGUCCCCCUGUGUGCACACCGUGAGAUGCUUCCUCGGAUGCUUCUUUAAAUUAAAUGCAGUCACGUUACAGUUUCAGCGGCAGGUCCUGAGGAGGCAGAUAUGUGUGAGCGCUGCACUCAACGGGAGUAGAGCUAACAUCUAAGAAGUCUGAGAAGUUCACAGAAGAGUUCAUCCAGAAGCAGGUGGAGGAGUUCAACAUUGGGAAACGGCACUGGCAAACAUGAUGGGGGAGGACCCUGAAAACUUCACCCAGGAGGACAUUGACAACAGCAUCGCCUACCUGUUUCCCUCUGGCCUGUUUGAGAGGAGAUCUCGACCCAUCAUGAAAGUAAGUGCAGAUCUGAAGAGGUUACGUGGAGGUUACCCUGAAGAUUUGAUAUUUCUUUGAUAUCUGAAGAAUCCCAUUGUAAGAACAAAUUC